RNAcentral lists this ribosomal RNA (481 nucleotides) under uncultured bacterium. RNAcentral's name for it is "bacterial SSU rRNA". It matches the Rfam family "Bacterial small subunit ribosomal RNA", at positions 28 to 507 of the family's 1533-position model. The record is from RNAcentral.
GAUGAACGCUGGCGGCGUGCUUAACACAUGCAAGUCGAACGGGAAUUACUUUAUUGAAACUUCGGUCGAUUUAAUUUAAUUCUAGUGGCGGACGGGUGAGUAACGCGUGGGUAACCUGCCUUAUACAGGGGGAUAACAGUCAGAAAUGACUGCUAAUACCGCAUAAGCGCACGGAACCGCAUGGUUCUGUGUGAAAAACUCCGGUGGUAUAAGAUGGACCCGCGUUGGAUUAGCUUGUUGGUGAGGUAACGGCUCACCAAGGCGACGAUCCAUAGCCGGCCUGAGAGGGUGAACGGUCACAUUGGGACUGAGACACGGCCCAGACUCCUACGGGAGGCAGCAGUGGGGAAUAUUGCACAAUGGGGGAAACCCUGAUGCAGCGACGCCGCGUGAAGGAAGAAGUAUCUCGGUAUGUAAAAGCUCUAUCAGCAGGGAAGAAGAAAUGACGGUACCUGACUAAGAAGCACCGGCUAAAUACGUG